This is a small nucleolar RNA of Castor canadensis (American beaver), 65 nucleotides long. Its record names the gene SNORD58. It matches the Rfam family "Small nucleolar RNA SNORD58". Rfam says of the family: snoRNA U58 is found in introns 1, 3 and 6 of the ribosomal protein RPL17 gene in humans. U58 is a member of the C/D class of snoRNA which contain C (UGAUGA) and D (CUGA) box motifs. NCBI's taxonomy places the organism in Eukaryota, Metazoa, Chordata, Mammalia, Rodentia, Castoridae. The record is from Ensembl.
UUGCUGUGAUGACGAUCUUAGGACACCUUUGGAUUAACCAUGAAAUCAACCAUGUUCUGAGCAAC